GUUGCUGAGGAAUCCUGAUACCAAGGGACACGUAGAGAGAGUGAGCAUCAGAAUAGGGUUGAAGUUGACAAAAUGGACGGUGCAAAUGGGCCGAGUCAUUCAUCAAUAUCGAGGGAAUCAUUGCAUAUGGAUAUGGGUUAGGUCUUGGAUUUUAUUUCGCUUCGAAUCGAUACGCAAUUUGAAAUAAGUACAUUACAUAUUUUUUGUACUCCAAUAGAUCCAAACUUUAUGAUGACUGUGCCAACCCUCAACCAAUGGCCAGUACAAGCGUGUUGCCCUCAUCUGUUCUCGGAAUCUCGUGACUGAGCUGUGUCCUUUUGCACAACACUCCAUUUCUUUCACCAUUUUGUUCCGUUUAUUUCACAGGUAAGCGUUUCAUGGUUGGAUCUAUGGGUUGUUCGUGUUCUUGGUACUUAGAAGAAGCUUAACCAGGUUUCUCUUAAUAAAAAUCCAAACUUUUUGUGUAAGACUGACCGGACUUCUUUAUGUUGGUUUUUGGAGUUUUCGUUUGUUUCACAGGUAAGCAUUUUAUGGUUGGAUCUAUGGGUUGUUUGUGUUCUUGGUACUUAGAAGAAGCUUAACCAGGUUUCUCUUAAUAAAAAUCCAAACUUAUCCAAACUUUUUGUGUAAGGCUGUAAGAAAUAUUAGCUGCAACUACAGUCAUCUGCAAUGAAACAAAAUCACAACUCUGCUGUGCUGUUUUAUUCAAAAUCUGUGAAGUUUUGUGAUGGUAACCAUACCUGGGACUCAUAGUAUAAACUGUAAUAAUCAAUUUAUGGUAGCCUUUCUUGGGUUGAUAAGGAUCUGUAUAGUUUGGAAACAUUAAAAUGUUUUUAGACUU
This is a long non-coding RNA of Quercus lobata, 841 nucleotides long. RefSeq lists it as uncharacterized. The transcript is spliced from 2 exons. NCBI's taxonomy places the organism in Eukaryota, Viridiplantae, Streptophyta, Magnoliopsida, Fagales, Fagaceae. The record is from RefSeq and is a predicted model, not a curated record.